CGAACGGCUGUAGCAAUACAGCAGUGGCAGACGGGUGAGUAACACGUGGGAACCUUCCUAGGGGUACGGAACAACUCAGGGAAACUUGAGCUAAUACCGUAUACGUCCGUGAGGAGAAAGAUUUAUCGCCCUUAGACGGGCCCGCGUCGGAUUAGCUAGUUGGUGGGGUAACGGCCUACCAAGGCGACGAUCCGUAGCUGAUCUUAGAGGAUGAUCAGCCACACUGGGACUGAGACACGGCCCAG
RNAcentral lists this ribosomal RNA (245 nucleotides) under uncultured bacterium. RNAcentral's name for it is "partial 16S ribosomal RNA". It matches the Rfam family "Bacterial small subunit ribosomal RNA", at positions 63 to 334 of the family's 1533-position model. The record is from RNAcentral.